AAUAACUAAAAUAUCCCCAAGUUUUUCGUCCACUCUCAACCCAAAUGAAAGGCGGUUCCGAUUGAUGAAAAGUUUUAAACAGCUGUACAAUUUGUUCAGCGGAAUGUAGGAUUUCCAAGGAAGAGAGCUAAAGAUAAAGAAAGAAAGAGAGAAAGAGGAAAAAUAUUUGGAACAUAUUGCUAAAAUCUGUGAAAAAGAUAAUUGUCAGGUGUCUACAGGAUAUUUCCAUAGCAACCAAGCGGCGCUACUGCAUCAUUGUAUAGCAUUGGCUAUGGAAAUUAUAACGUGAUGGAUCUCAUGGAAGUUACAAGCACUACAACCAAACCGAAAAUUUCAGUUCUCAAAUUAACUCCAGCCGUUAUUGCCGUAUGCGUUCUGGCUGGAUUAUGUUUAAUUCUUGGAGUUAUAUACGCCUACAUCUAUUAUACUCGUUUAAGGCCUAAAUCAACAAAAAUUCGAAAAUUUUAUCUCGAUUGCGCUGGCGAAGACGAGGGUAAUAUGACAACAUCUUCAGCGACCCAUACUCAUUUAUUUCUAUUUAAAAAAUGA
Molecule: unclassified non-coding RNA, 549 nt
Filed under: Dimorphilus gyrociliatus
Lineage: Eukaryota; Metazoa; Annelida; Polychaeta; Dinophilidae
Description: dgyrCDS9621
Source: RNAcentral